This is a long non-coding RNA of Melospiza melodia melodia, 1101 nucleotides long. RefSeq lists it as uncharacterized. Lineage: Eukaryota; Metazoa; Chordata; Aves; Passeriformes; Passerellidae. The transcript has 3 exons. The record is from RefSeq and is a predicted model, not a curated record.
UGGUCUGGAGCAGCAGAGGGGUGUGGGGACCCCAUGACAGGGCACUGAUUUCUGCCCUGUUGUAGAUUUUUGCCCUCCAACAGGCAGCAGCAAUCUUUGGCAGCACAGGAAAGUGCCCAAACUGUUCUGGAGCAGCCAAAAACUGAUGGGAAAGUGAUGGCUUUUAACAGCGAUGGAGUGUCAGUGAGGGGGAGCUGCCUUUGAAGAGCUGAUUGCUGUCUCACUUGACUUAAUGAAAUGGCUCUCCUGAUAAAAGCUUCACCUCUGGGCCCUGCAGGCAAAUGCAGGAUGGAUCACCUCUGUCUGGAAAGCACUGACCAACCUGCUGGAAGAAACCAUCCUUCCUACUGAACCCCAGGAGUUCUGGGCAGAUCUCCUGGCUGCACUCCCCAGCUGCUUGCAGAAUCCUGUAGGAUUUCUUUUGCCAAACCUCACUGCAGUGCCCUGCCUGGCCCAAAACACACGCCAGCAUCUCCCUGCACCACUGGAAACCUCACUGCCUGCUACACCCACAGAACAGGGGUGGCUGCUCAGGCAGGGGCCUGGGCCAUCACCUUCUCUGUGGGCACAGCGAGGGAGACAUUUGAAAUAUCCUUCUUGAGUAAUGGAGUUGGACAAGUGGGAAAUUCCUGCUCCCCGUUUGCAGCAGGGAAUGGUGCAGGCAAAACUCCAGCAGCAGGAUAUGUAAAAAUGAAGUAAGGAAUUCCAGAAGCCUGCCAAGGCUGCAACCUGAAAUCCAUUACAGUAUUCUGCUGCAUUACUGCUAUGAAGACACCGCUGAUUACAACCAGACCACAGCACAGAGCAACAUUUGUCCAAUUAGGGGUUAGAUACUUAAUUAAUGAGUGUGGAAUAGGAAAAGGAGCCAGAAAGACACUGCCAGGCUGAAGUCAGAUUGAAAAAUCCACUAGCUCCUUCCAAUGGUAACUGAGAAAGUGCCACAUAAAAAUCAUAAAAUGGUUUAAAACUCUGUUAUUCCUUUCAUGUUUGUACUUGGAAAAGGAGUUUCCUUCUCAGUUACCUUGGAAAUGAAGAGACUGGUGAGGUUCAGGUAUGUUCCAGUUGCAUUCCAUGAACUAACACAACUGACUGAAAAUGCAA